Bolinopsis microptera is the source of this 307-nucleotide long non-coding RNA. RefSeq lists it as uncharacterized. The transcript is spliced from 3 exons. Lineage: Eukaryota; Metazoa; Ctenophora; Tentaculata; Lobata; Bolinopsidae. The record is from RefSeq and is a predicted model, not a curated record.
AGACUUCUCUGCAGUAUCGGGUCCCUACACAAUCUCACAUCGUUUGGAGGACGUUUACUUUUGUGACGGUGGUCAUUACAGUUUCAGGAUCAAGUUGGAGACUGGAUUCGAAUUCAGUACUGACGAGACGAACCUAAAGAUCAAACUACGCUGUAAACCACCUCGUACGCCUCCGAAUACACUUUUGAAAAAGGUUGAAAUUGCUGAAUCCGACGACUACAAAUAUGUCGUCACGUGUAUCAACGAAGACCUUGUCUUAAUGAACGAGAACGCGAAGGAAGUGAUCUGCAACACAUCUACUGGCUCA